UAGGGAAUUUUCCACAAUGGGCGAAAGCCUGAUGGAGCAAUGCCGCGUGCGGGAUGAAGGUCUUCGGAUUGUAAACCGCUUUUAUAUGUGAAGAUUAUGACGGUAGCAUAUGAAUAAGGAUCGGCUAACUACGUGCCAGCAGCCGCGGUGAUACGUAGGAUCCGAGCGUUAUCCGGAUUUAUUGGGCGUAAAGAGUUGCGUAGGCGGUAGAGUAAGCAAAUAGUGAAAGAGUGUGGCUUAACCAUACGAA
This 250-nucleotide ribosomal RNA is filed under the name uncultured bacterium. RNAcentral's name for it is "partial 16S ribosomal RNA". It matches the Rfam family "Bacterial small subunit ribosomal RNA", at positions 355 to 621 of the family's 1533-position model. The record is from RNAcentral.